Molecule: ribosomal RNA, 579 nt
Filed under: uncultured organism
Description: eukaryotic LSU rRNA
Rfam family: 5.8S ribosomal RNA (bases 197-350)
Source: RNAcentral
UUCCGUAGGUGAACCUGCGGAGGGAUCAUUACACAAAUAUGAAGGCGGGCUGGAACCUCUCGGGGUUACAGCCUUGCUGAAUUAUUCACCCUUGUCUUUUGCGUACUUCUUGUUUCCUUGGUGGGUUCGCCCACCACUAGGACAAACAUAAACCUUUUGUAAUUGCAAUCAGCGUCAGUAACAAAUUAAUAAUUACAACUUUCAACAACGGAUCUCUUGGUUCUGGCAUCGAUGAAGAACGCAGCGAAAUGCGAUAAGUAGUGUGAAUUGCAGAAUUCAGUGAAUCAUCGAAUCUUUGAACGCACAUUGCGCCCUUUGGUAUUCCAAAGGGCAUGCCUGUUCGAGCGUCAUUUGUACCCUCAAGCUUUGCUUGGUGUUGGGCGUCUUGUCUCUAGCUUUGCUGGAGACUCGCCUUAAAGUAAUUGGCAGCCGGCCUACUGGUUUCGGAGCGCAGCACAAGUCGCACUCUCUAUCAGCAAAGGUCUAGCAUCCAUUAAGCCUUUUUUUUCAACUUUUGACCUCGGAUCAGGUAGGGAUACCCGCUGAACUUAAGCAUAUCAAUAAGCGGAGGAAAUCACU